GAUGAACGCUGGCGGCGUGCCUAAUACAUGCAAGUCGAGCGAACAGAUAAGGAGCUUGCUCCUUUGACGUUAGCGGCGGACGGGUGAGUAACACGUGGGUAACCUACCUAUAAGACUGGAAUAACUCCGGGAAACCGGGGCUAAUGCCGGAUAACAUUUAGAACCGCAUGGUUCUAAAGUGAAAGAUGGUUUUGCUAUCACUUAUAGAUGGACCCGCGCCGUAUUAGCUAGUUGGUAAGGUAACGGCUUACCAAGGCAACGAUACGUAGCCGACCUGAGAGGGGACAGGGCAACACUGAACCUAGAGCACGGCCCGGCUCCCCAGGGGGGGAGCCGGAGGGAAUUCCUCCAAAAGGGGGAAAACCCUACCGGGCCAACGCCCGGGGGUGAUGAAAGUUUUCGGGACUGAAAAACUCUGUAUUUGGGAAAAAAAAAAUGUGAAAGUAACUGGCCCCGCUUGGACGGAACCUAUCAAAAAAGCCCCGCCAAACACCUU
This 496-nucleotide ribosomal RNA is filed under the name uncultured bacterium. RNAcentral's name for it is "partial 16S ribosomal RNA". It matches the Rfam family "Bacterial small subunit ribosomal RNA", at positions 28 to 506 of the family's 1533-position model. The record is from RNAcentral.